This is a non-coding RNA of Zonotrichia albicollis (white-throated sparrow), 307 nucleotides long. The record is from RefSeq and is a predicted model, not a curated record. NCBI's taxonomy places the organism in Eukaryota, Metazoa, Chordata, Aves, Passeriformes, Passerellidae.
CCAUAGAGAAGUUCUCUGUAGAUAAUAUUCAAAUUUACUUUAUUUUGGCAUCUUUUCAAAGGAGCAGGAAGUACAAUAUAAACAGCUGGAUGGUGAGUUUCUUCAUUAUCCUUCCCCAGACAAAUGUGUAACUGCAGCCCUGUGUGAUGGGGAAUAGUGGUGAGAAAGCAGAGUUGAACAUCGUGCUACUCGCAAGGGUCUCCAAAUGGCAUUGUUACUCCAAAGUGCUGUAACGAGGAGUAACGACCGUGACUCCCUCCUCAUUACCUUUCCUUACAGGGAGCUGGAUUUUUCUUGUAACUGCAAG